Molecule: transfer-messenger RNA, 408 nt
Filed under: Bacteroidota (CFB group bacteria)
Lineage: Bacteria; Pseudomonadati
Also listed under: 2 other names
Description: UBA9647 sp003519375 Standard tmRNA
Rfam family: transfer-messenger RNA
About the family: Bacterial tmRNA, also known as 10Sa RNA or SsrA, is named for its dual tRNA and mRNA-like properties. Its role is to liberate the mRNA from a stalled ribosome. To accomplish this part of the tmRNA is used as a reading frame that ends in a translation stop signal.
Source: RNAcentral
GGGGGUGACUUGGAUUCGACGGGGAUGAGGAAGCUCAGAACUGCGUAUCGUGGUCUCCGUGUCCACGUAAAAGAAGCGGUAAAAAAUCAAGUGCCAACUACAACUACGCACUGGCUGCUUAAUUAAUUAAGCAUCCCGUUCCUUCCGGUUCUCGCCCAUUGGGGCUGGCUGGAACGUCGACUUAGAUGGGAUAGGGCGACCCUGAUUCGAAGGGGGCCGGCCGAAAUCCUGCCAAAAGCGGGAUCUACUUCGGAUAGUACGUGGCCAAUCCUGCCAGUCCCGCGAUGCGGGAUCCCGUGCAAGCGGGACCGGAGUUUCCACGUGCGAAUCUUAAAAGGCCGGCUAUGUACGUAGACGUUUUGAGAAUCUUCUCUUCGGACCGGGGUUCGACUCCCCGCACCUCCACUA